ACGGCUGGUGGGGGCAGAUCACAGCCUUCGAAGCCGGUCGUGGGUUCGAUCCCCGCCAGCCGCGCCA
Molecule: transfer RNA, 67 nt
Filed under: Burkholderiaceae bacterium
Lineage: Bacteria; Pseudomonadati; Pseudomonadota; Betaproteobacteria; Burkholderiales; Burkholderiaceae
Description: tRNA-Arg
Source: RNAcentral